This is a long non-coding RNA of Rhinichthys klamathensis goyatoka, 990 nucleotides long. RefSeq lists it as uncharacterized. NCBI's taxonomy places the organism in Eukaryota, Metazoa, Chordata, Actinopteri, Cypriniformes, Leuciscidae. The record is from RefSeq and is a predicted model, not a curated record. The transcript has 3 exons.
GCCACCCCCAUUGAGCUGGUUCUGGUGGAGUUCUGUGAGAGUCUGUGAAUGCUGGCAUCUGAACGUGCUGUAAUGCGGUGUGUUGUGAAUCUUCUCUUCCACCUGCGUUCUUUGAAUGACCCAUGCUGUCAAAAAUAACAACAAAGGAUAUCAAAUAUUAAUGGGAAUCAACUGGAGCACAGUGUCGGAAGUCUGGUGUUGGGGUUAAGAUAUAGCCCAGAUGGAGUGAGGGCCUGAGAAGGGUUCGGGCUGAAAUCUGAGCUGCAAUCAAAGAGCGCCGGAGACUGGGACGGAUGGAGUGACGAGAGAGGAAUGCAAACAGUGAUUAGACAGGAUAUUAAUGAGUCCCCAAAACCUUGGAGCCAGGCUGUUUGACCUCUGUCUGACCUCUGACUCGAAGUCACAACCUGCUUUGUGUAUGCCCAAAACAUGACGGGAAUGCAAGCAGGAUGAUGAUUGAAGAGGUAAAAACUGAUGAAGCGGCGGAAAGCGAGAGGGUGGAGCUCAGGGAAAUUAAAAGGACAUUUAGGGGAUUGAUUGUCCAUUCAUUAGAUAAAGCACUGGGUCGUAUUUAUUAUUAUAAAACCCUCUAACCCUCUCUGAUAAACUAUAAUUAUAAACUAUAACUGCCACUUAACCAAAACAGUAUUUUGUUUCACUCUGACCGGGUCAUAAUUUAGAAAAAAUAAUAUAAACAUUUGCAACAAUUUAGUCCCUUAUGUAUCAUUUAUUUGGAUAGAUAGGUUACAUUUGCACACUGGGAACAUUAUUCAGGGAAUUUAUUGUCAUUUGGCUUUCCGAAUUCAAAUACACAAGCAUGGCAAUCAUGCUUACCGGUGCUGCACAUCAGUACAGAAUUUAUAAACACAAACACAAGAGCACAACAUGACAUGUGACUGAGACUCACUCUGCUUCCAAUGCUAAUCCUGUCUGGAUUUCUGUCAGUCCUUCAGGAGACAGAGACUCCGGUGAAUGUGAUCUGGGAGUGAA